This 253-nucleotide ribosomal RNA is filed under the name uncultured bacterium. Its description in RNAcentral is "partial 16S ribosomal RNA". It matches the Rfam family "Bacterial small subunit ribosomal RNA", at positions 524 to 776 of the family's 1533-position model. The record is from RNAcentral.
GACGAACCGUCCAAACGUUAUUCGGAUUUACUGGGCUUAAAGGGUGCGUAGGCGGCUCAGAAAGUAGGGUGUGAAAGCCCUCGGCUCAACCGAGGAAUUGCGCCCUAAACUACUGGGCUGGAGGAAGACAGAGGUAAGCGGAACUUACGGUGGAGCGGUGAAAUGCGUUGAUAUCGUAAGGAACACCAGGAGCGAAAGCGGCUUACUGGGUCUUUUCUGACGCUGAGGCACGAAAGCUAGGGGAGCGAACGGG